GUCCGCAGCUCCCGUUUGACAAAAAUGAUGUUCGUCCAGAUGGCAUAAAGCUUAGCUCUCAGAACUGAAGGCUCGAAGAGAUGGAAACCUCCAGCUGCCAAUAGCUUGGCAUUCGAGCUCCGGAUGAUAAAUCCCACACCACCUCUUCCAUCUCUGAUAUUGCCAUCAAAAUUUACCUUGACAAAUUCUGAAGAAGGAGGCUCUCAGGAGAUGAAAAUGAUCAUCCGGAUCGC
This 233-nucleotide long non-coding RNA is filed under the name Elaeis guineensis (African oil palm). RNAcentral's name for it is "long non-coding RNA (EGUI_LNC006977)". Lineage: Eukaryota; Viridiplantae; Streptophyta; Magnoliopsida; Arecales; Arecaceae. The record is from RNAcentral.